GACGAACGCUGGCGGCGUGCCUAAUACAUGCAAGUAGAACGCUGAAGGAGGAGCUUGCUUCUCUGGAUGAGUUGCGAACGGGUGAGUAACGCGUAGGUAACCUGCCUGGUAGCGGGGGAUAACUAUUGGAAACGAUAGCUAAUACCGCAUAAUAGCAGUUGUUGCAUGACAACUGUUUGAAAGGUGCAAUUGCACCACUACCAGAUGGACCUGCGUUGUAUUAGCUAGUUGGUGGGGUAACGGCUCACCAAGGCGACGAUACAUAGCCGACCUGAGAGGGUGAUCGGCCACACUGGGACUGAGACGCGGCCCAGACUCCUACGGGAGGCAGCAGUAGGGAAUCUUCGGCAAUGGACGGAAGUCUGACCGAGCAACGCCGCGUGAGUGAAGAAGGUUUUCGGAUCGUAAAGCUCUGUUGUAAGAGAAGAACGAGUGUGAGAGUGGAAAGUUCACACUGUGACGGUAUCUUACCAGAAAGGGACGGCUAACUACGUG
RNAcentral lists this ribosomal RNA (495 nucleotides) under uncultured bacterium. RNAcentral's name for it is "partial 16S ribosomal RNA". It matches the Rfam family "Bacterial small subunit ribosomal RNA", at positions 28 to 507 of the family's 1533-position model. The record is from RNAcentral.